RNAcentral lists this transfer RNA (77 nucleotides) under Dipsastraea rotumana. Its description in RNAcentral is "tRNA-Ser". Lineage: Eukaryota; Metazoa; Cnidaria; Anthozoa; Scleractinia; Merulinidae. The record is from RNAcentral.
GGCAUAGUAACUUUAUUUUUAGUUUUUGGUUUGAUUCUAUGAUUUUGCUUCUGCGGGCCUAGCCAGGCUCUUUGCCA